Molecule: microRNA precursor, 152 nt
Filed under: Leersia perrieri
Lineage: Eukaryota; Viridiplantae; Streptophyta; Magnoliopsida; Poales; Poaceae
Description: MIR812 microRNA precursor family
Rfam family: MIR812 microRNA precursor family
Source: Rfam by way of RNAcentral
UCCAACUUUAAUCGUCCGUCUUAUUUAAAGUCUUCUAUAAUUAAUAUUUUUAUUGUUAUUAGAUGGUAACACAUAUGCAUAACUAUUUAUUUUUAGUUUAUUCAUACAAUUUUUGAAUAAGAUGAGCGGUUAAAUUUUGACACGAAAAUCCA